This 551-nucleotide ribosomal RNA is filed under the name uncultured bacterium. Its description in RNAcentral is "bacterial SSU rRNA". It matches the Rfam family "Bacterial small subunit ribosomal RNA", at positions 810 to 1361 of the family's 1533-position model. The record is from RNAcentral.
UGUCGACUAGUCGUUCGGAGCAGCAAUGCACUGAGUGACGCAGCUAACGCGUGAAGUCGACCGCCUGGGGAGUACGGCCGCAAGGUUAAAACUCAAAGGAAUUGACGGGGACCCGCACAAGCGGUGGAUGAUGUGGAUUAAUUCGAUGCAACGCGAAAAACCUUACCUACCCUUGACAUGUCUGGAACCUUGCUGAGAGGCGAGGGUGCCUUCGGGAGCCAGAACACAGGUGCUGCAUGGCUGUCGUCAGCUCGUGUCGUGAGAUGUUGGGUUAAGUCCCGCAACGAGCGCAACCCUUGUCACUAGUUGCCAUCAUUUAGUUGGGCACUCUAGUGAGACUGCCGGUGACAAACCGGAGGAAGGUGGGGAUGACGUCAAGUCCUCAUGGCCCUUAUGGGUAGGGCUUCACACGUCAUACAAUGGUCGGUACAGAGGGUUGCCAAGCCGCGAGGUGGAGCUAAUCCCUUAAAGCCGAUCGUAGUCCGGAUCGUAGUCUGCAACUCGACUACGUGAAGUCGGAAUCGCUAGUAAUCGCAGAUCAGCAUUCUGUC